UACGUAGGGACCAAGCGUUGUUCGGAUUUACUGGGCGUAAAGGGCGCGUAGGCGGCGCGGUAAGUCACUUGUGAAAUCUCUGAGCUUAACUCAGAACGGCCAAGUGAUACUGCAGUGCUAGAGUGUGGAAGGGGCAAUCGGAAUUCUUGGUGUAGCGGUGAAAUGCGUAGAUAUCAAGAGGAACACCUGAGGUGAAGACGGGUUGCUGGGCCAACACUGACGCUGGGGCGCGAAAGCCAGGGGAGCAAACGGG
This 253-nucleotide ribosomal RNA is filed under the name uncultured bacterium. RNAcentral's name for it is "partial 16S ribosomal RNA". It matches the Rfam family "Bacterial small subunit ribosomal RNA", at positions 524 to 776 of the family's 1533-position model. The record is from RNAcentral.